Molecule: non-coding RNA, 89 nt
Organism: Knufia peltigerae
Lineage: Eukaryota; Fungi; Ascomycota; Eurotiomycetes; Chaetothyriales; Trichomeriaceae
Source: the annotation of a GenBank genome assembly
GAUUCAUUGGUGUAGUGGUUAUCACGCGUCGUUCACAUGCAGUGAGCACACAUCCGACGAGGUCCUCGGUUCGAUCCCGAGAUGAAUCA